Molecule: long non-coding RNA, 265 nt
Organism: Oryzias melastigma (Indian medaka)
Lineage: Eukaryota; Metazoa; Chordata; Actinopteri; Beloniformes; Adrianichthyidae
Exons: 3
Source: RefSeq, a predicted model, not a curated record
UGUGGAGGUGUAAACAAUUGUGUACAGGUGCGUACAGAUGCAUUCAGGUGUACAAAUGUGUUCAGGUGUGUACAGGUGUCCACAUGUGCAUUCAGGCUUACAGUGUGUAAAAGUGUAAGCAGGUGCGUACAGGUGUGUCUAAAUGUGUACAGAUGCAUGAAGGAAUGUACAGGUGAAUACAGACAUGAAGGUGUACAGGUGUGAACAGGUUCAUACACGUGCAUACAGAUGAAUUCAGGGGUACAAAUGUGUGUAGGUGUGUACA